RNAcentral lists this microRNA (22 nucleotides) under Dasypus novemcinctus (nine-banded armadillo). Its description in RNAcentral is "dno-miR-433-5p". Its record names the gene dno-miR-433-5p. The record is from miRBase by way of RNAcentral. RNAcentral also lists the same sequence under 13 other names. Lineage: Eukaryota; Metazoa; Chordata; Mammalia; Cingulata; Dasypodidae.
UACGGUGAGCCUGUCAUUAUUC